UUUUAAAAAAUGGAAAAAAAUUGAAAAAUAAGAAGAAAAAAUCUUAAAAAAAUUAGAAAAUUUUAUGAAAAAUCUAAAAAAAAAUUUAAAAUGCAGAAAAUUAAUCUAUUGAAAAAUUAUAAAAAAAAAUAUAAAAAUGAAGAUCAAUGGUUUGUGCUAAAGGAAUGUGUUUGGAGGAGGAUCCUGCAGGGAGUUGGGCCCAGAGGUUUUGCCAGGGAGCCUCUUCCCAGGGGCAUUGCCCCAAAGAAAGUCCGGGAUGUUCAGGCACGGGUGAAUCCUGUCCUGGGCAGGCAGAAAAAGGGUGGGGUGGACUGGCAGAACGUGCAGGGGGAAUCCUUUUAUUGGGAGCUGCUCCCCAACCCCGACCAAAUCCUCAGUGGGGAGGAACAGCCUUAAAAAAAAAAAACCAAACCUUGAUUCAAAAGUGGAUUAAAAACGGGGUGGUGGUGCCGAGAGAGGGGUGAAGCUCAAGCUCCACCUGGAACGGGGUUGCUGGUGGGUCUGGCUGGUUUGAUCCUCCCUCCUCUCCCAGCGGAUCCCAAAAAGCGCUGGGGGAACGCCAGGACAUCCCCCCCAAUAUUGGGAAUAUUUCUGUGGGUGCCGUCGUGGUUACAUCUCCUUCCUCGUCUCCAUUCUUGUGCAAAAUUCAAAUAAUUCCCCCCCUCCCCAACAGCAGCUGGGCAUGGGGUGGGUUUUUUUUUUUUUUAAGUUUUUUUUUUUUUAAGUCGCUCUUUAACGUUGCGAAAGGAACAAUAAAAUGAAAGGCAAAACCGGCAUCUUAAAACUUGGCAAGUGAAAGCAGCUUGGACUGGCAGCCAAGAAUCCUGCUGUGGUGCAAAAAGAAUAGCAUCCACGGAGCCACCACAAUCCGGGGCUUCUCCUCUUUUAACAAUCGCGUCGGCACAGAGAAAUAAUUAUUCCUUGUGUCACUGUUAAAAGAGUCAACGAGCUUAAAAAAAGCUUGCUUGGUGAACCUCCUCCAAAGCAGGUAAUGACGCUCCUUUUUGAUUCUGUUUUUUUCCAGCUGGAAUUGUUUUUUGGGUUUUUUUUUUGGAUAAGGAUCUAGAGAUGAGAACUAAUCACUUGAAGGAGUUUGGUGGGUUUGGUACUAACGACCAGGGAAGGAGUUUGACGGGGUAACCUCCAGGGUUUUUAAUUUUCYUGGAUGGGUUUUUGGUGGGAGUAGGACUGGCGAACUUCUGGAGCGGUUUUGUUACGAGGAAUGUUUUAUUGCCACGGAUUUAACUCCUCAGGCUGCGGGGAGGGCGCGAGUGGAUGGUGGAACAUGGAAAAAUGAAUUCAAAAAAAACCUUCAAAAAUGAGGAUAUUGGGAGGGGGAAGUGAUUUCUCUCGUAGGACCUUGGCUGUUCCUUUUCUCCUCUGAAACUGUAGCCUCUGGGUGUAGAAAACCAGCAGCCAUUCCUUGAAAACUUGCCAUGAAAAUAUCCCUGAAUAUUUUGUCUUCCAGAACACGUUCCCCAGGAGUUGGGCCUAAGCAAUAUGGCAGCGGACGCUCCAUAGGAAAUCCUGAAAAUGCUGCUGCUGCUGCUGAGCCCUGUCCCCAAGGAGGGCACAAUCCCUGCCCCACUCCGGCCUCAACCGCCGCAGGGACGGAUCUUCCUCCAAAAAUCCCAAAAUCAUCCCAAAAUCRUYCCCAAAAUCCYGUUUUUCCGAAGAUGCCGCGUGAAUUUUGGAAGCUGAAAACUUUGGGGGAARGCUGGACGCUUUUGAAGCCCUGGAGCGGCGCGGCGUUCACGUUCCCAAAAAGCACCAUGGAGGCCUGGCCAAGUUCUUGCCUUGGUGGUCAGCAAUCAGGAGUCUCCAAAGGAGGUCAGAUGAAGGUGACCAAAGGGAUCUGGACGCAGCAGCUCCUCCCAAGGACUCACAGCACUCCAGGCACGUGGUAAGUGCUGUCCUGGUGGUUCUUUAUUUUUACAGAAUAUUGAUUUGAUCCGUGAUUUGGUGUGGAAUUGGUCUGCAGAACAGUGAGGCUCGMWUUAGAAGCUUYUGCUUGUCCAGAGCACUGUUCUGGRAAUGCCCAAACCAUGAYAUUUUUACCCAGUUUUGCUCUCCAUGGAUGUGCCCCUCACUCUGGAUUUGUACCUUUCCUCACAUCACUUGAAUUCUCAAUUUCUAUGGAGAUUCUGUUGAAAUUCCAGGGCUUUUUACUCCCCUGAAGACAUUUUAUUAAUUUGUAAAUCAUUCUCCUCUGUGCUGCCCAUUCUGGGCAUUUUAAAGGUAUUUCCAAACUGAUUCCUGUGUGCUUUGCCCAGAGUGAAGUUAUUGACUCAAAAAGGCCUCGAGGUUUCCCCGUUAAUGCUGAAGUCUCUAAAGCCUCCUCCCUGGCUGAACAUCCCUUCUCCUGUGUGUUUUCCCUUUUGAAUUGCUAAUUCCAAUUGAUCUGAAGAAAAAAAUAUUGUAAUAGUUUGUAUUUACUGCAUUUUCUGCUGCAACAGCACCUACCAAGGUCUCGCCUUYCUUUGAUCCUGUCUCAAUGAUUGAAUUCAUUCUUCCUUUCUGUUUUCCAGCUUCUCUCUGCAAACUUUCUGUCACUCYCAUUUCUGCAAGAAUUUCCUGCAAACCACGUCCCUAAGAGGAUUAGUGGAGGGGAUACCAAAUUUUAUUUAUAUUUAUUUAUAAAUGGGCUGCAGAGACUUGGCCCCUUUUAAAAUAUGAGAACAAUUUUCAGGCCUCUUUCAGUUGUGGUUGUUUCACUCAAAAAAAAAGGAACCAAAAAAACCCCAAAAACCCAAACCCAACAAAUCACAGAACAACAGAGAAACAUGAGAAGUUGUGGAAACCCCUCAAACUUUCUCUGUUUGAAUUUUGAAUUCCUGGUGGUCACAGGACCAGGUGAUGCUGCCAGUUGUGGGGUUUUUUGGUAGUGCCCAGAGCAACGAGUUAAAUGCAAAGAUGGAAUUAAAUCAGAUAAAAUCCCACCUCAAUUUUUUUUAUUUGUGCCAGCCUGGAGGCCUUAAACRUUUUGUAAUUUGAAUCUUUGCAAAACAGGGCUGCUGGACUCCAGUGAAAGCAGUGUCCGGAUGUCGGUGGUGAUUCAUAAAAGCAAUUAAAGAAAAGGAAAGUGCUUUUCCUCUGAGUGUAAGGAGGAUGUCCUUAAGUGAGUGUGAAACGCUCCAGCAGUGGUCAGGGGAUGGGGGCUGUGRUGUUCCAGCUCAUGGAUCUGUUUCCAGCAAAAACACUUCUUUAUCCUGUGCUGCUGCUGAUUUAAAUUUUUCUCAGGGAGUCCUGGAAUUUUUGGGGUUGGAAGGGAGCUCUGGAGAUGCCCAGGCAGGGUCACCUGGAGCAGGUGACACGGGGACACAGCCAGGUGGGGCUGGGAUGGCUCCAGAAAACCCAAAACAUCCCUGGGCAGCUGCUCCAGGGCUCUGCCACCUCCGUGGGAAGUUUUCUUUAGGUUCAGCAGUUAAAACUUUAACUGAACAACCUUCACAGGUAUUAUUUUUACUGGCUUUUUCAGGAAAAUAAGAUGGGACUUGUGUUUUGUCAUCAAAAACAGCCURGCCCCAUCCUCUGUCACACACCUUGGGGAUAUUUGUAUGGAUUUAACUGAAUUUUAUUUAGUUUCUACCCAAUGUAGUUCCCAUUUCUUCCCUCUUAAAUUUGAGGAAAAGCCUCCUGAGGAUGGAACAUUUCCCACUGGAGAAAUGUGGUUGUUGCAACACAAAUAUUGGCGAUGAUGGAUCAUUGAAACUCAUCAAAUAUGAUUUUUUUUUCACCCCUAGUGCAACUCCCUGGCAUUUCUGACCUUGCCCAAACACAAACCACCUCAUUUGUAGAGCUUUAAAGUGAUUUUUCAGGGGCGAGGCCGAGUUUGGUGGGAACAUGAUGGAGGUUGUUGUUGUACAUGAGGAUCCAUCAGCACGGCCACGUUACCCAAGCGAGAAGCAGCCCCUGAAAUGUUCCUAAAACUUUCCUAAAACGUUCCCUAAAACUUCACAACCAUCCUGGUGGCUCUUAGGGGUGUUUAUCUGGCUGUCCUAGAGCAGGAACUUCCAAUAUUCCACCUUCUCCAGGUGGAUUCCUCUCUGUUCUUUUGCAAAUAUCAAAAUUGUGGCUUCCAUUGGCUUUGCCUUCCCAUCCUGCCCUCGGUUAUCCCAUUCCAAGGGAAGCAAAAGGAGUUUACUGAUUUAUCAUGGAUCAUUAGGUGGAAGUAACUAUUCUUAAAACAUCAGGAUGGAUACAAUAAUUAGGGAUGUGCUUUUGUUAACACCGCCAGCCUCGACCCUCUCGUACAGUACCCUUGGGUCCUAAAUAAUUACCCACUUUGUGUGGUUAUCUAGCUCACUAAUUACCCACAAAAAUUGGGGUCAGGUGUUAACUGCUUGAAAUAAGUAUCCUCCAAAGGCUUGGGGAAAGUGUAUCAAGAAAUUAUGUGUUUGCUGCAAAACUUUGGGAAAAAAAAAAAAAGGAAAAAUCAAACAUUAUUUUUUUUUUGGUGGGAAGGAAGAUAAGGAGACAAUGGAUGUGAAAUGUUCAGYGUGAUGGCAAAAUCUCGCAGUGAUGGUGAGGGACUCUAAAGGGAGUGAAAGGAUGGUUGGCAGAUCCAGUCACUAAUCUGGUCUACUUUUCCCAAAGAUUAGAUCCUUCAGCACACAGGGUUUGAUUCUUCCCCUAUCUAGGCUGAUGCCAAUCAGGAUUACGCCAAUAUAAAUAAGAAAAUUUGGAUCUGUGCAUUCCCAGACUGACUUUGCUGCAUAACCCCACCUCUUCCAUCACCCAGGCACUUCUGCAUUGCGCCCAAUAAUUUAAUUAUGGAUUGGAUAUUUAUUUCCACGCGUUUAUUUUUGCUGCCUCCAGCCCUGUGUGCGCGCAGAGCUCCGUUCUGAGGCCGCUGCUCAUAAAAUGCAGUUCGCUUGGAGCAAUAAUUUGAUUCCUGUGCUCAGGGAGUUACCCCAGUGAGUCAAAGAUUUCUAGAUAGCCCCACCCUCCCCAACUUCCCGAACACUCACACUGCGGCCGCUUUCUCUCUGCCAGACCCACACAAGAUGUCUAACUAGCCAAAAUCCCGAGGGGCARUCCCAAUCUCCUGUUUCAGCCCCAAAAAAUGGGAAAUAAAGCCACGGCAGCUCUGAAACACCCGGCACGUGUAAGGGAGGGAUGUUGAGCCGCCCGUCUCCCUAACCUGGUUUCUUGCAUAGGUGCUCCCUGCCUUCAGUACAAAAGAAACAGAUUUUGGGGGAGCUGAGAAGGUGAUUCUAGAAAUCUUUGGGGUUUUGGAUGCCCGGAUACCUUGAAUUCCUGAGCGUCUGUGCGGUGCUCAGCGUUAACAAAGAAACCGCCGGGAUUUAUUGCUGUAUUUCGCGUUAGGUGCUUCCUCUCCUCCAUAGGCAGAACCACCUCCCGUUCCUACAAACACCUUUUGAAGGCUGUGUGGAUUCAGGUAUCAGACACCCCCAUCCCAAAUGUUUGGGUAAACGGAGGGGGGGAUCUGGGGAGGGUCCCCGAGCCGAGGCGUGAACUCGGUUUUGGGGCUACCUGCGCCCCGCUUUGUGCCGAGCAUCCCUGGGAAAGGCAGGGCUCAGGCUCCUAAAGCACAAUGCAGAUUUAGUCGUCAUCUUUGUCUCUCCCCCCGCGCCCCCCCCCCGCUCCACUCCCCGCUGAUGUUAACUGUCUGUAUUAUUAUUUAUUGUUAUCAGGGGAUUUGGUUUGAUCAAUGAAGUGUAUAUGCGUCUGACGGACAUUCGGGGAGGAAAUGCUUGGAGAAUGAGUAACAUGUCUGCAGCGGAGGGUGUGUGAGAGGGAGAGAGAGGGAGCAUCGGUACUAGAAACAUUGACUGAUGAGUUCAUUUUAAAAUCCAAGGGCAUAUAGCUGGUAAAUUAGCACAUAUUGCAAAUAUAGUCUGGUGCGAGAGGCAGCAGCGCUGCCAUUGA
This is a long non-coding RNA of Malurus melanocephalus (red-backed fairy wren), 5892 nucleotides long. RefSeq lists it as uncharacterized. The record is from RefSeq and is a predicted model, not a curated record. The transcript has 4 exons. NCBI's taxonomy places the organism in Eukaryota, Metazoa, Chordata, Aves, Passeriformes, Maluridae.